This 445-nucleotide ribosomal RNA is filed under the name uncultured bacterium. RNAcentral's name for it is "bacterial SSU rRNA". It matches the Rfam family "Bacterial small subunit ribosomal RNA", at positions 354 to 796 of the family's 1533-position model. The record is from RNAcentral.
GUAAGGAAUAUUGGUCAAUGGACGGAAGUCUGAACCAGCCAUCCCGCGUGCAGGAUGAAGGUCCUAUGGAUUGUAAACUGCUUUUAGCAGAGACGAAGACCCAUCAUUUAUGGUGGAGUGACGGUAUCUGCGGAAUAAGCACCGGCUAACUCCGUGCCAGCAGCCGCGGUAAUACGGAGGGUGCAAGCGUUAUCCGGAAUCACUGGGUUUAAAGGGUGCGUAGGCGGGGUAUUAAGUCAGUGGUGAAAGCCUGUCGCUUAACGAUAGAACUGCCAUUGAUACUGAUACUCUUGAAUUGGGUUGAGGUUAGCGGAAUGUGACAUGUAGCGGUGAAAUGCAUAGAUAUGUCAUGGAACACCAAUUGCGAAGGCAGCUAACUGGGCCUUGAUUGACGCUGAGGCACGAAAGCGUGGGUAGCGAACAGGAUUAGAUACCCGAGUAGUCC